RNAcentral lists this long non-coding RNA (1764 nucleotides) under Equus caballus (horse). Its description in RNAcentral is "lncRNA (ENSECAG00000060114.1)". The record is from RNAcentral. Lineage: Eukaryota; Metazoa; Chordata; Mammalia; Perissodactyla; Equidae.
CUCCCCUUGCGUCUGCCGGGCUGAGGGACCAGCUGAAGGGCACGCGGGCGGGGGAGGCGGAGGGAGGCAGAGGCCGUCUGAGGACAGGCGCGGCGGCGCGGCGGCGCGGCCCCGGGAGGAGCACGGCGGGCGCGUGCGAAGAGCCGGCUCGGGCGUUUCUGAGCGCGGCCGAGGCCGGGGAAGUUCCUGCGCAGUGAGAAGCCGCACACGCUGCGGCUGUGCUGCGGUGAGGGGACCCAGGAAGUUCGAGCCCGGCCAGGGCCGCCUCCCGCCGGGGGGAGAAUCUUACAUCAAUUAACAGCCACCCCGCGCCCUCCUGGGUCCGUGCCGAGAGUAAACAGCACGCCGAGCGGGUUAUGACCUGCUGAGAUGCAGGGGUGUGCUGGGGAGUCAUUCAAACUUAGGAAACGUCCCACCCGCAUUUCCACCGACCGGUUAGGAAAUGAGUGUUGAUGCAGCCACUGUUAGGUGAAGAAGCUUGUUCCCAAGAGGAAGCCAUUAAUGUCUGUGAGCCAAGAGGGACCAGCUUUGAAAUAUGGUUGGUGGGGAAAGGACUGGACAGGACCCCGGCGUGUUUAUAACUAACAUGACUUACAUGCGAAUGCUUUCGAGUCCCAAGUUUAGGAGACAGGGAUAAAAUUCUAAAUGACGGUGACACCUCGGACAAGGGAGACUACAAAAACCUGAUACUACGGACUGAAGAGCACCUAGAGAGUUAGGAGAGAAGACUAGGAGAAUAUUAUCGCAAAAGAAAAGGGGGAGAGAAUUUCAGAAAGAAAAUAUCUUGAAGAAAGACACUCAGCUCCAUGGCGGCAGUAGUUGGCGGUGACUGUGGGACUCCCUCUGCCUUCCUUCUUUGCAGGACUCCAGUCAACAGCCAGUGAGGAGCUGAGGCCCUCAGUCCAACAACCUCUGAGGAACUGAAUCCUGCCAACAGCUGCUUGAGUGAGCUUGGAAAAGAAUCAAGCCCCUUAUCAAGCCAACCACAGCCCUAGCAGAGACCUUGAUUGCAGCCUGUGAGAGACCCUGAGCCAGAGACCCAGCUAAGCCACACCCAGAUUCUGGACCCACAGACACUGUGAAAUAGGAACUUCGAAGCCUCUGUUUCCUCGUUGUCCAUCAUUCUCCAAUCCCUGGUAUUCCGGUUUGCACCACUAGGACACUACUGAGACGGCUCCUGGAGCGGCACCACAGCCUCUCGAUGCCAAAUGAGGAGCGCUUAGCGACAGCGAUGAUGACCCACUCUGAAAGAAGUGUUCUUCCGCGUCCGCUGUGGCACCCCUGGUUUUCCUCGUAAUUCUACCGACUAACGUCUGCACAGCCCUUUCUCUGCAUCACCUUUACCGUGGGCUGGGCUUCUUUGCUGACUCCUCUUUCUCUCCACUCUCUAAACCCUGCAGACACCCUCCUCUCCCCUCAGAGAGCGCCCCUCGGAGCCUUCCAGCCUCUCACCUCGGCACUGAUGACCCCCAGAUGCCCAGCUCGCAGCUUGCAGCUCGCAGCUCCGUACCCACCACCUCCAGAGCUCAGCCCUCAGUGUGUCAAGCUCCUGCCACCCACCUCAGUCUUCAUCUCCCCCAACACCACCCCCCGCCCACGCUACGGCUGCUUCACUUCCUCAUUCCUGUUGCAACCACCACCAUCUUCCAGUUGCGCGAGCAUCACCUUCCAUCGUCUUUGGUUUUUAUUUAGGCCUUGCCUAAAUCCUUGCCUUCCACACCCUCGUCACCAGUCAAAUGAAUGAGAAACAGUCUUCGGCAGGCC